CACGGGUGAGUAACACGUAUGCAACCUGCCUGCCACAGCCGGAUAAUACGGGAGAAAUUCCGUCUAAUACGGCAUAAUGCAUCGACGGGACAUCCUGUUGGUGCCAAAGGUUAAUUCCGGUGGCGGAUGGGCAUGCGUCGCAUUAGUUAGUUGGCGGUGUAACGGACCACCAAGGCGACGAUGCGUAGGGGUUCUGAGAGGAAGGUCCCCCACACUGGUACUGAGACACGGACCAGACUCCUACGGGAGGCAGCAG
This 256-nucleotide ribosomal RNA is filed under the name uncultured bacterium. RNAcentral's name for it is "partial 16S ribosomal RNA". It matches the Rfam family "Bacterial small subunit ribosomal RNA", at positions 100 to 354 of the family's 1533-position model. The record is from RNAcentral.